This 1352-nucleotide ribosomal RNA is filed under the name uncultured bacterium. RNAcentral's name for it is "bacterial SSU rRNA". It matches the Rfam family "Bacterial small subunit ribosomal RNA", at positions 30 to 1381 of the family's 1533-position model. The record is from RNAcentral.
UGAACGCUAGCGGCAGGCUUAACACAUGCAAGUCGAGGGGCAGCGCGAGUAUCAAUACUUGGCGGCGACCGGCGCAAGGGUGCGUAACGCGUGAGCAACAUGCCCGUAUCAGGGGGAUAAUCCAGGGAAACUUGGUCUAAUACCCCAUAGUAAUCUUAGGAGGCAUCUUUUAAGAUUUAAAGCUUUGGUGGAUACGGAUUGGCUCGCGUGACAUUAGCUAGAUGGUAAGGUAACGGCUUACCAUGACUAUGAUGUCUAGGGGUUCUGAGAGGAAGGUCCCCCACACUGGAACUGAGACACGGUCCAGACUCCUACGGGAGGCAGCAGUGAGGAAUAUUGGACAAUGGAUGGAAAUCUGAUCCAGCCAUGCCGCGUGCAGGAUGAAGGUCCUAUGGAUUGUAAACUGCUUUUGUAUGGGAGCAAUAAGGUCUAUGCGUAGGCCGAUGAGAGUACCGUAGGAAUAAGCACCGGCUAACUCCGUGCCAGCAGCCGCGGUAAUACGGAGGGUGCAAGCGUUAUCCGGAUUUAUUGGGUUUAAAGGGUGCGUAGGCGGUCUAUUAAGUCAGCGGUGAAAGUUUUCAGCUUAACUGGAAAAAUGCCGUUGAUACUGAUAGGCUAGAAUAUGGUUGCUGUGGGUGGAAUGUGUGGUGUAGCGGUGAAAUGCUUAGAUAUCACACAGAACACCGACGGCGAAGGCAGGUUACCAACCCAUUACUGACGCUGAGGCACGAAAGCGUGGGGAUCAAACAGGAUUAGAUACCCUGGUAGUCCACGCCGUAAACUAUGAUUACUAGUUGUUGGCGAUACAUUGCCAGUGACUGAGCGAAAGCAUUAAGUAAUCCACCUGGGGAGUACGUUCGCAAGAAUGAAACUCAAAGGAAUUGACGGGGGCCCGCACAAGCGGAGGAGCAUGUGGUUUAAUUCGAUGAUACGCGAGGAACCUUACCUGGGCUUAAAUGUAGAGUGCAUGGUUUAGAGAUAGAAAUUCCCUUCGGGGCUUUCUGCAAGGUGCUGCAUGGUUGUCGUCAGCUCGUGCCGUGAGGUGUUAGGUUAAGUCCUGCAACGAGCGCAACCCUUACCUUUAGUUGCCAGCAUGUAAUGAUGGGGACUCUAAAGGAACUGCCUACGCAAGUAGUGAGGAAGGUGGGGAUGACGUCAAAUCAGCACGGCCCUUAUGUCCAGGGCGACACACGUGCUACAAUGGCCGAUACAACGAGUAGCUACCAGGUGACUGGAUGCGAAUCUUUAAAAUCGGUCUCAGUUCGGAUCGGAGUCUGCAACUCGACUCCGUGAAGUCGGAUUCGCUAGUAAUCGCGCAUCAGCCAUGGCGCGGUGAAUACGUUCCCGGGUCU